Pelobates cultripes (western spadefoot toad) is the source of this 240-nucleotide non-coding RNA. Lineage: Eukaryota; Metazoa; Chordata; Amphibia; Anura; Pelobatidae. The record is from the annotation of a GenBank genome assembly.
GUAUAUUGAUUCGGUAUAUCAAUAUUCACUUGAGUCUGUAAUGAUUCUUGUUCUUUUGGUCUGUAGUAAUGUUCCUUAAGACGCAUAUUCCUCCCAAAUUUAAAUAGUUCCACAUUCCAUUUGAACAAAUUAGGGGAUGCCGUGGGUACAAAAGAAAGGCCAUGUUCCAAAAUUUGUAAUUCUUGUUUGUCCAACACCCUAUGAGAUAGGUUGAAGAUAGGUGUUACUUCCUCAUUGGAG